This 893-nucleotide ribosomal RNA is filed under the name Staphylococcus saprophyticus. RNAcentral's name for it is "bacterial SSU rRNA". It matches the Rfam family "Bacterial small subunit ribosomal RNA", at positions 57 to 931 of the family's 1533-position model. Lineage: Bacteria; Bacillati; Bacillota; Bacilli; Caryophanales; Staphylococcaceae. The record is from RNAcentral. RNAcentral also lists the same sequence under 1 other name.
GCAAGUCGAGCGGACAGAAGGGAGCUUGCUCCCGGAUGUUAGCGGCGGACGGGUGAGUAACACGUGGGUAACCUGCCUGUAAGACUGGGAUAACUCCGGGAAACCGGAGCUAAUACCGGAUAGUUCCUUGAACCGCAUGGUUCAAGGAUGAAAGACGGUUUCGGCUGUCACUUACAGAUGGACCCGCGGCGCAUUAGCUAGUUGGUGAGGUAACGGCUCACCAAGGCGACGAUGCGUAGCCGACCUGAGAGGGUGAUCGGCCACACUGGGACUGAGACACGGCCCAGACUCCUACGGGAGGCAGCAGUAGGGAAUCUUCCGCAAUGGACGAAAGUCUGACGGAGCAACGCCGCGUGAGUGAUGAAGGUUUUCGGAUCGUAAAGCUCUGUUGUUAGGGAAGAACAAGUGCAAGAGUAACUGCUUGCACCUUGACGGUACCUAACCAGAAAGCCACGGCUAACUACGUGCCAGCAGCCGCGGUAAUACGUAGGUGGCAAGCGUUGUCCGGAAUUAUUGGGCGUAAAGGGCUCGCAGGCGGUUUCUUAAGUCUGAUGUGAAAGCCCCCGGCUCAACCGGGGAGGGUCAUUGGAAACUGGGAAACUUGAGUGCAGAAGAGGAGAGUGGAAUUCCACGUGUAGCGGUGAAAUGCGUAGAGAUGUGGAGGAACACCAGUGGCGAAGGCGACUCUCUGGUCUGUAACUGACGCUGAGGAGCGAAAGCGUGGGGAGCGAACAGGAUUAGAUACCCUGGUAGUCCACGCCGUAAACGAUGAGUGCUAAGUGUUAGGGGGGUUUCCGCCCCUUAGUGCUGCAGCUAACGCAUUAAGCACUCCGCCUGGGAGUACGGUCGCAAGACUGAAACUCAAAGGAAUUGACGGGGGGCCCGCACAAGCG